UGAUGUCGUUCAAGAAGUUAAUGACCACUGUUGAGGUUGUGAGCUACAAAUACCCAGAGGAGGCAGCGCUUACAUUGGAAUUCCUACAGAAGUAAGCAACACGUAUGUUAUGAAAUGUCUAUCUGUUUAUUUAAUUGAAAAUAAUGAAGUAUAUUGUAAGACACAGAUGAUCUGAUAAGCUCGUUUGACAGAUGUAAAUGGAGACCAUUGGAAAUGUAAGUUAAGCAAUUUAUAAACAAAUAUUUUAAUUGGCAAGUAUUAGGGUUAACAGUUAAUUUAAUGAACUUAAAAUACUGUAUGAUUGAUUUUCCAUCUCCAACCUGCAUGUUACUCUGUAGUUCAGUUUCAUUCAUUUCAUUUUUAUCAUUAUCCAUUUCUUUUAGAAUUUUCCUGUGAAGAAAUCCUAAAUGAGGGUUGAGGUGAAGGCAACCAGGUGAUGGGCAGUUCAAGAUUGCUGUCGUUUGAGAAGUUAAUGAACAAAUCUUCUUUCCUGUUGCGGUUGUGAGCUACAAAAUACCCAGAGGAGGCGGCACUUACUCUGGAGUUCAUACAGAAAAUUUUCCUGUGAAGAAAUCCUGAACGUGGUUUGAGAUGAAGGCAACCAAGAGGCUAUGCAGUCCUCCAAGAGUCUUGCAUGAACAAUUUCAAAAAUCCAUGUAAUAUUUGAGUUUUUAAAUUGAAAAAAAU
This is a long non-coding RNA of Labeo rohita (rohu), 687 nucleotides long. RefSeq lists it as uncharacterized. The record is from RefSeq and is a predicted model, not a curated record. Lineage: Eukaryota; Metazoa; Chordata; Actinopteri; Cypriniformes; Cyprinidae. The transcript is spliced from 3 exons.